GACGAACGCUGGCGGCGUGCUUAACACAUGCAAGUCGAACGAAAAGGCCCUGCUUUCGGGGUUCUGACGUUGCGAACGGGUGGGUAACACGUGGGUGAUUUGCCCCUUACUUUGGGUUAGGCCUGGUAAACUGGGCCUAAUACUGACUGGAUCCUUUCUUUAGGUGGUGUGUUGGAAAGUUAAGUUCCGUUAAGGGUUGAGUUCUCGUCCUAUCCGCUUGUUGUUGGGGUAUUGGCCGACGAAGGCGUCGCCGGGUAGCCGGCCUGAGAGGGUGGAAGGCAACAUUGGGACUGAGAUACGGCGCAGACGCCGACGGGAGGCAGCAGUGGGGAAUAUUGCAAAAUGGGCGCAAGCCUGAUGCAGCGACGCCGCGUGGGGGAUGACGGCCUUCGGGUUGUAAACUACAUACGGCCAUGACGAAGCCCUUGUGGUGACGGUAGUGGUAGAAGAAGCACCGGCUAACUACGUG
This 469-nucleotide ribosomal RNA is filed under the name uncultured bacterium. RNAcentral's name for it is "partial 16S ribosomal RNA". It matches the Rfam family "Bacterial small subunit ribosomal RNA", at positions 28 to 507 of the family's 1533-position model. The record is from RNAcentral.